Molecule: long non-coding RNA, 659 nt
Organism: Cornus florida
Lineage: Eukaryota; Viridiplantae; Streptophyta; Magnoliopsida; Cornales; Cornaceae
Exons: 2
Source: RefSeq, a predicted model, not a curated record
UUACCUCAAAAUGCAAUGUAAAUUUCGUUACUUUAUAUUAUAAAAAAAAUAAAAAAAAAUUAUAUAAAAAAAAUCAUAAAAAAUUUCACCAAAUAGGAUUUAGGUUACAAAAAUAAAUUAAAGACCUGGAUUAGUUAGCAGUUGCGGAGAGAGAGGGGGGCAAGCUUGAGAAUUGAGAGACAGUGGGCCAGCGACUGAAACUUGCAAAUGGCAAAGCCGAACUGGAACAGCGGGUGAUGGAAACUGAAGGAUAUGGGUUUUGAUUUUUUGAACAAUCUGAAAUGAUAUGCCGAUAUGGGUUUUGAACUUUUGAUUCUUGCAGACAGAUAGAUUAACUGAAAUAUAUGGGUUUUGAACUUCUGAUUCUAGUAGAUUUUGCAGUUCAGAGUUGAGAACGAGAAUAGACAUGGACACACAUGGGGAGGUUGAAAUGAUUUGCCCUAAUUUUUAUUUUUUUAUUUUUUUCUGGUCCAUCAUCCAUGGGCCUAUAAAUUUUGAGGUCCUAGGCGACCACCUUGGGUCAGGAUCGGGCCAGGCUGGUCCUGGACUUAUUUAGCUUGGGCUUUUAUUUUAGUAUGGUGGCUAAGUUGACUUGGGCUUGCUUUGAUGGGCAAAUUUUGAGGUGAGUUAAUAUUAUUAAUAAUUUUUUUUUUUUUUUU